CUUAAGAAAUCAUUAGAUGGUGAGCUGUAAACUCACAUUUGAAAAUAGCU
RNAcentral lists this transfer RNA (50 nucleotides) under Argiope amoena. RNAcentral's name for it is "tRNA-Tyr". Lineage: Eukaryota; Metazoa; Arthropoda; Arachnida; Araneae; Araneidae. The record is from RNAcentral.